Molecule: ribosomal RNA, 293 nt
Filed under: uncultured bacterium
Lineage: Bacteria
Description: partial 16S ribosomal RNA
Rfam family: Archaeal small subunit ribosomal RNA
Source: RNAcentral
GUGCCAGCAGCCGCGGUACUACCGGCAGCCCGAGUGAUGGCCGAUCUUAUUGGGCCUAAAGCGUCCGUAACUGGCUGCGCAAGUCCGUCGGGAAAUCCACUCGCCCAACGAGUGGGCGUCCGACGGAAACUGCACAGCUUGGGACCGGAAGGCUCGAAGGGUACGUUCGGGGUAGGAGUGAAAUCCCAUAAUCCCGCACGGACCACCGAUGGCGAAAGCACUGCGAGAAGACGGCUCCGACAGUGAGGGACGAAAGCCAGGGUCUGCAACCGGAUUAGAAACCCUGGUAGUCC